AAGUCGWGGGGCAGCACAGGUAGCAAUACUGGGUGGCGACCGGCAAACGGGUGCGGAACACGUACGCAACCUUCCUUUAAGUGGGRGAUAGCCCAGGGAAACUUGGAUUAAUAYCCCKUAAYAUUWUKRGRUGGCAUCAYYUKAUAAUUAWAGCUCCGGCGCUUAAAGAUGGGCGUGCGCCUGAUUAGGUAGUUGGCGGGGUAACRGCCCACCAAGCCUACGAUCAGUAACUGGUGUGAGAGCACGACCAGUCACACGGGCACUGAGACACGGGCCCGACUCCUACGGGAGGCAGCAGUAAGGAAUAUUGGUCAAUGGACGCAAGUCUGAACCAGCCAUGCCGCGUGGAGGAUGACKGCCCUCUGGGUUGUAAACUCCUUUUAUCUGGGAAGAAAUGCAGKUWUUCUWAWCUGUUUGACGGUACCAGAGGAAUAAGCACCGGCUAACUCCGUGCCAGCAGCCGCGGUAAUACGGAGGGUGCAAGCGUUAUCCGGAUUCACUGGGUUUAAAGGGUGCGUAGGUGGAAUGGUAAGUCAGUGGUGAAAUCUCCAAGCUUAACUUGGAAACUGCCGUUGAUACUAUCAUUCUUGAAUAUC
RNAcentral lists this ribosomal RNA (596 nucleotides) under uncultured bacterium. Its description in RNAcentral is "partial 16S ribosomal RNA". It matches the Rfam family "Bacterial small subunit ribosomal RNA", at positions 59 to 650 of the family's 1533-position model. The record is from RNAcentral.